RNAcentral lists this ribosomal RNA (500 nucleotides) under uncultured bacterium. RNAcentral's name for it is "bacterial SSU rRNA". It matches the Rfam family "Bacterial small subunit ribosomal RNA", at positions 30 to 525 of the family's 1533-position model. The record is from RNAcentral.
AUUGAACGCUGGCGGAAUGCUUUACACAUGCAAGUCGAACGGCAGCACGGGGCAACCUGGUGGCGAGUGGCGAACGGGUGAGUAAUACAUCGGAACGUGCCCGAUCGUGGGGGAUAACGAAGCGAAAGCUUUGCUAAUACCGCAUACGAUCUACGGAUGAAAGCAGGGGACCGCAAGGCCUUGCGCGAACGGAGCGGCCGAUGGCAGAUUAGGUAGUUGGUGGGAUAAAAGCUUACCAAGCCGACGAUCUGUAGCUGGUCUGAGAGGACGACCAGCCACACUGGGACUGAGACACGGCCCAGACUCCUACGGGAGGCAGCAGUGGGGAAUUUUGGACAAUGGGCGAAAGCCUGAUCCAGCCAUGCCGCGUGCAGGAUGAAGGCCUUCGGGUUGUAAACUGCUUUUGUACGGAACGAAAAGACUCUGGUUAAUACCUGGAGUCCAUGACGGUACCGUAAGAAUAAGCACCGGCUAACUACGUGCCAGCAGCCGCGGUAAUA